GCCAGACUCCUACGGGAGGCAGCAGUGGGGAAUAUUGCACAAUGGGGGAAACCCUGAUGCAGCAACGCCGCGUGAAGGAAGACGGUUUUCGGAUUGUAAACUUCUGUUCUUAGUGAAGAAGAAUGACGGUAGCUAAGGAGCAAGCCACGGCUAACUACGUGCCAGCAGCCGCGGUAAUACGGAGGGUGCAAGCGUUACUCGGAAUCACUGGGCGUAAAGAGCGCGUAGGCGGGAUAGCAAGUCAGAUGUGAAAUCCUAUGGCUUAACCAUAGAACUGCAUUUGAAACUGUUAUUCUAGAGUAUGGGAGAGGUAGGUGGAAUUCUUGGUGUAGGGGUAAAAUCCGUAGAGAUCAAGAGGAAUACUCAUUGCGAAGGCGACCUGCUAGAACAUAACUGACGCUGAUGCGCGAAAGCGUGGGGAGCAAACAGGAUUAGAUACCCGUGUAC
Molecule: ribosomal RNA, 447 nt
Filed under: uncultured bacterium
Lineage: Bacteria
Description: bacterial SSU rRNA
Rfam family: Bacterial small subunit ribosomal RNA
Source: RNAcentral